This is a non-coding RNA of Malaclemys terrapin pileata, 636 nucleotides long. NCBI's taxonomy places the organism in Eukaryota, Metazoa, Chordata, Testudines, Emydidae. The record is from the annotation of a RefSeq genome assembly.
AUGGGAUUUUUGCUCCUUGUAAUUUUCGCUGUAGCAGCUUUGGAAGGUGUCCGGUCCCAGGUCCAGCUGGUGGAGUCCGGAGGGGAUGUGAAAAAGCCCGGAGACUCUCUCCGCCUCUCCUGCAAAGCCUCCGGGUUCACCUUCAGCAGCUACUGGAUGAGCUGGGUCCGACAGGCUCCUGAGAAGGGACUGGAAUGGGUCACUGCUAUAAACCCUGGUGGGAGUAGUACAUACUACCAUGAUUCAGUGAAAGGCCGAUUCACCAUCUCCAGGGAUAAUUCCAAGAGUGAGCUGUAUCUGCAAAUGACCGGCCUGAAGCCCGAGGACACCGCACGCUAUUACUGUGCGAGGCUCUGGGAUGGGGAGUGCCCGGAUCACAGGGGCUGGGGUCAGGGCUUCAGAGGCCGAUUCACCAUCUCCAGGGAUAAUUCCAAGAGUGAGCUGUACCUGCAAAUGACCGGCCUGAAGCCCGAGGACACCGCCCGGUAUCACUGUGCAGGACUCACAGUGACUGGAAGCCGGGCUGAGUUCAGACAAAAAACGCCCGUGUCGGUUACCAGAGAAAGUCUCAGCUGGUUUGAUGCUGACAGGCCGCGCGCUGGGAGCUCACAGGAGACAGUAAUUUCCUCCCUUUGA